CAAGCGGAGGAACAUGUGGUUUAAUUCGAUGAUACGCGAGGAACUUACCUGGGUUAAAUGGGAAGUGACAGCUUUGAAAUAGAGCCUUCUUCGGACACUUUUCAAGGUGCUGCAUGGUUGUCGUCAGCUCGUGCCGUGAGGUGUCGGGUUAAGUCCCAUAACGAGCGCAACCCCUAUUGAUAGUUACCAGCACGUAAUGGUGGGGGACUCUAUCGAGACUGCCGGUGUGAACCGUGAGGAAGGUGGGGAUGACGUCAAAUCAGCACGGCCCUUACAUCCAGGGCUACACACGUGUUACAAUGGCCGGUACAAAGGGCAGCUACUCCGCGAGGAGAUGCGAAUCUUAAAAACCGGUCUCAGUUCGGAUCGAAGUCUGCAACCCGACUUCGUGAAGCUGGAUUCGCUAGUAAUCGUAUAUCAGCCAUGAUACGGUGAAUACGUUCCCGGGCCUU
This 452-nucleotide ribosomal RNA is filed under the name uncultured Alkaliflexus sp. RNAcentral's name for it is "bacterial SSU rRNA". It matches the Rfam family "Bacterial small subunit ribosomal RNA", at positions 926 to 1382 of the family's 1533-position model. The record is from RNAcentral. Lineage: Bacteria; Pseudomonadati; Bacteroidota; Bacteroidia; Marinilabiliales; Marinilabiliaceae.